ACACACACACACACACACACACACACACACACACACACACACACACACACACACACACACACACACACAGGGCUACAGGUACACGCACACACAGGGCUACAGGUACACACACACAGGGCUACAGGUACACACACACAUACACAGGGCUACAGGUACACACACACACACACACACAGGGCUACAGGUACACACACACACACACACACACACACACACACAGGGCUACAGGUACACACACACACACUCACAGGGCUACAGAUACACACACACACACACACACACACACACACACACACAGGGCUACAGUUACACACACACACACAGGGCUACAGGUACACACACACAGGGCUACAGGUACACACUCACACACACACACACACACACACACACAGGGCUACAGGUACACCCUACACACACACACACAGGGCUACAGGUACACACACACACACACACACACACACACACACACACACACACACACACACACACACACACAGGGCUACAGGUACACACACACACACAGGGCUACAGGUACACACACACACACAGGGCUACAGGUACACACACACACACACAGGGCUACAGGUACACACACACACACACA
This 604-nucleotide long non-coding RNA is filed under the name Salmo salar (Atlantic salmon). Its description in RNAcentral is "lncRNA (ENSSSAG00000111393.1)". The record is from RNAcentral. Lineage: Eukaryota; Metazoa; Chordata; Actinopteri; Salmoniformes; Salmonidae.